CACAGGCAGCUGACUGGGGGUUUGCCACCAACCCACACCUAAAACUCGUCGUAGUCUUGGAACUCCUGGAAGUCUCCUUCCACGGCUUCGCCUUCUCCUGAGCAGUGGUUACAAUGCGGGCAACCUGGUGUUUUGUGGUAAAGCAAGGAUGAGUACACAUCAACGUACUCAGCAAAUGUCCCGUUUGGCUGAAGUGGACUAGCUUUAUGUGGGGUUAGGCUCAAGCAGUUGCUUUUAGUUGGUCAGGUAUUUAUCAUUAGUAGAAGCCAGAUUUUAGCAUUAUCCAACCCGUAAACCAUUUCCUCAUCGAGGAACAACAUCAUCAUAGUCGAACCAUAACAUAAUCCUUGUAUCUCGAACCAUCUGUAUAUCUAAUCAAAGAGGAUCCCAAGGCUGCUCUUAACCGUGAGCACGGCUGAUAUAUCAAUUUCACUACCCUCUGCAGAGGUUGCACACUUUACCCAUGAGUCAUGAUUCCCUUUCUACCCGGGGAGAGCUAAUCCCCAUUGACCACUACCUAGGUGGUCCGGCAGGGCAUCACUACGUAGCUUUUACAAAGAUUCCCUAGAGAUCAUAGCUGCCCGUUAGGUUUCUCCAGUUUGAUAAACACAGUACCCCUCCCCGCAGGAGAGUGACUAACAAAGAGCAAAACGAAAGAACCUCGGCACUCAGCCUCGGCAGAGCAAGCACUGUGCCUGGACCCCAUUGACGGCACGACGGCUAAGCAACUACACCUCUAGUUCAUCUAAUUAAUCAGCUAAGGGCAUCCCAUUUCACCCUCAUGGUUGCACUGUUAUCCCGGGUGGUCUCUCAACGAACCAGUCCUUACGGAGAGGUACUCAGGAAACAGCCUGAGCCCCCUAGAGUAUCACAAGAUCAUCAACAUCAUCAGGAUAACAGUAUCAUAAAUAGUCACAUCAUGUUCAUUGAUUAUGUUAAAGCAAUAGCAAAGUGCUAACCAUAAUAGCCCAUAAGGUCAUCAAGGAUAAAGUAAAAUGUAAAGCUAGUCAAUCCUUAGGUUUCAAGUAAGUAGUGCGGGGUAGUAAGUUAUAAAUGAAUAGGACAUAAUGGGACAGAGGACACUUGCCUUCACCAAACUGCUGAUCAGGGACUUCCUCUGCAACUUCCUCGGGACACACAGACUGCUCGUUGUCUACGUAAAGUAAUCAUUCACACUAUGCACUUGGGAAGAUAACAAACAAAAGCAACAUACAAGACAUAUGCAGCAAAGAGAUCACAAGUUCAUAGCAGAAAAGGGAUAGGCACUCUGGUGUUCCCUAGGUCUGGGGUAGAGGACUAUACAAAGUGAUUCAUUAUCCACUAGUCAAGUUUAAGUCAGUGGUGGGAUUAAAUCAUUACCUGGUUUUAAGUUCCUAAACUUAGGUGUUUAAGUCCCUAAUCUUAAGUACUCCAACUUUUAUUAAAGUCUACCAAUUUCUAAUUGUCUCAAAUGGGGUUCCAAUAGCCUUAAUCCUAUCCUGGUGAUUAACUAUUAAUUGGUACAUGGAAACAGCAGGGAAACAUUGGUUAAAUAGAUAGACAAAAACAUCAUGAGCAUUUUGCAAUUUGAAGCACCUAAUUUGGAGUUCAUAUGACAAAGUUAUGAAUUUUACAAGUUUGGGGAUUAAAAAUAUACCCUAAAUACCUAUUUUGAAUUAAUUAAAAGGUCCAGGGACCUAACUGCGAGAAACCAGGGACGGCGGGUUCAAAUUCCAGAAAACCGGGGGUCUCUUUAAGAAAAUGCGCGGGCGAAGGGGUAUCGGGCUACUACGGCCGUCAGAUCUAAAGCGAACGGCCAGGAUUAGAUCCUGCGGGCGGGCGCGCGAGCGCGCGGCGGCCUGGGCGGCUGACAGGCGGGACCGGGCGGGCAGCGCGGGGCGCGCGGGCAAGCUGACAGGCGGGGCCGGCGGGCAGAGCGAGCGCGCGGGCGGGCUGACAGGCGGGGCCCAAACGGCAGGGAGACGGGGUGUGGGGGAAGCGGGCCUGGGCCGCUGGAUCUCCGGCGGACGGCCAGGAUUAGGCUUGACCUAAUUAAAAUGGGACCGCCCGAUCUGGGACGGACGGUGGGGAUCGGGUGGCCGGCCUGGGCUUCUCCUACGGCUAGCUGGGGCGGCGGCGCUCGUCCCCGCGGCGGAGGACUCGCCGGAGACGAGGGGCGCGGGCGUUUGGCGGGCCUCCGAGGCGACCUGAGCGGCCGGGAAGGUUGGGGAGGGCACGGGGAAUCCUCUGGUGGGGUCUGGGUCGGGGCAGGGGCACCGGAGGGGGGCGGUUCACGGCGGAGCGGCUCGGCGGCGGGGUUACUCUACUCCGGCGAGGAAUUAAACGCGGCAAAAGGCAAUACACGGGUCGAUAGGGGCGGGAGAGGUCCCUUACCUCAAGGCGGGCUCCGGGGACUCCUCGGCGGCGGGAAUGGCGCGACGGUGGCCCGGGGCGACGGUGGCGGACCUCCGCGGCUGCACGGGGAGCGGCGGGUGAGCGCGGGCAGAGAGAAAUAGGGAGGGGGAAAGGGAAUUGAGGCGCGUCCCGGGUUGCAGACACCGGGGCGAAGCUCACCGUGGCAACGGACACGGCGGAGCUCCAACGGCGGCCGAGAAACGGGCUCGGGACGGCGGGGAUUCGUGGCGGCGGCGCUCUGGCGUGCGCGCAGCGAGGGAGAGGUGGAAGAGGGGUCCGCUAGAGCGCAAAUGGGGGAGGGGGCGAGGGCGAGUGGGGUUCGGGGCUCAAGUGGCCAGGGGCUGGUCAGUUGCGAGCUCCACGCGCGACGUGGGCGCGGAGAAAGCGGGCGCGCGCAGCUCGGCGGCGGUUACGCGGGGACGACGGGGCUGACAGCCCGGGCCCGCGAGCAGAGAGAGAGGGGAGAGCGGAGGCGGGCGCGCGAGAGGCGGCUGCGCUGACGGGCGGGCCCGCCAGGGCAGAGAGAGCGGGGGGAGAGGCGCGCGCGCGGGAUGGGCCGGCUGGGCCGAAAGGCCGAGGGGGCGGCGGGGUUGGGCCUCUUUCUCUUUUCUUUUUAUUCUGGAAUUGUUUUCUCUUUUUCUUUUUAUUUUCUCUAUUUGAUUCAAAUUCAAAUGAGCCACAAAUUCAAAUCAAACUUUCCAAGAAUUAUGCACCAAGCAAAAGUGAAACCUAGAGUUCAACAUGAUGCAACAAUUCAUACUCCCUUAGGGUUUAACAUAUUAAACUAUUAUUACAAAUAAAAUAAGCACUUUUCUCCUAUAGAAAUGAGAAAGAAAAGAAUGAGGAAUGAUGAGAAAAGGGAAGUAACACCUGAAUUUGUGAAUAUGAGCAAAGAAAUUUUAUACCCCCAAAUUCAGGGUGUUACAAACCUAUCCCCCUUAAAAGAAUCUCGCCCCGAGAUUCAAGGUUGGUCAGCAAAGAGUUCAGGGUAUUUGGCCUUCAGAUCAUCUUCUCGUUCCUAGGUUGCUUCUUCCUCCGAGUGGUGACCCCAUCUGACUUUGCACAUUCUGAUGGUAUUCCUCCGGGUGACUCUGUCUGCAAACUCCAGAAUCUGCGUUGGCUUCUCUAUGUAUGUCAGAUCCUCCUGGACCUCCAAACCCUCCACUGGCAACUGUUCUUCUGGUACUCGCAGACACUUCUUCAAUUGCGACACAUGGAACACAUGGUGCACUGCUGACAAGCUCUCUGGUAGGUCGAGCUGGUAGGCCACUUCUCCACGCUUUGCUUGAAUCUGAUAUGGUCCAAUGUACCGAGGUGCUAACUUGCCUUUAACUCCGAACCUUCUGACUCCCCUGAUAGGUGACACCUUCAGAUAGACGUAGUCUCCCACUUCAAAGCUCAGUUCCCUUCUCCUUCUGUCAGCAUAGCUUCGCUGUCUUGACUGGGCUGUCUUCAGGUUCUCCCGAACCAUUUUGAUAUUCUCUUCGGCUUCAAGCAAGAUAUCGGGGCCAAACACCUGUCUCUCUCCAGGCUGGUCCCAAUGCAACGGAGUCCUGCAACUCCGCCCAUAGAGUGCCUGAAACGGUGACAUCUUCAAGCUGGCUUGAUAACUAUUGUUGUAGGAGAAUUCCGCAUAAGGUAACCUUUUGUCCCAUCUUGACUUGUCUUGCAACGCACAGGCUCUCAACAUAUCUUCAAGGAUCUGGUUAGUUCUUUCAGUCUGGCCGUCUGUCUGCGGGUGAUAAGCUGAGCUGAAGUUCAAAUGGGUGCCCAAAGCUUCUUGUAGCUGCUGCCAAAAAUGAGAGGUGAACUGCGUUCCUCGAUCUGACACUAUCUUCUUCGGCACACCAUGAAGGCAGACUAUUCGUGACAUGUAUAACUCAGCUAACGUUGCUCCGGUGUAUGUUGUCUUCACAGGUAUGAAAUGGGCCACCUUUGUUAAGCGGUCCACAACCACCCAGAUGGAAUCAUAACCGGCCCGGGUACGAGGUAGGCCAACUAUAAAAUCCAUCCCGAUCUCAUCCCACUUCCACUGAGGAAUCCGCAAUGGCUGCAACAAUCUGGCAGGCCUCUGAUGCUCUGCUUUGGUUCUCUGACAGCUAUCGCAGAUGGCGACAUAUUCUGCGAUCUCUCUUUUCAUGCCAUACCACCAAAACCUCCUUUUUAAAUCCUGGUACAUCUUCUCACUUCCAGGGUGUAUGGAGUAGGCUGUCUCAUGAGCUUCCUUGAGGAUCAGUUCCCGAAUAGGUUUGAGGUCGGGAACACACAAUCGGUCCUUGAACCAUAUUACUCCCUCUUCAUCCUCUCGAAAGUCUUUGCCUCUUCCUUCUAAGAUCAGCUGCCGGAUCUUGUUGAUGUUUUCAUCAUCCUUCUGCCCUUCUUUGAUCUCCCGCUCUAGGGUGGGCUCUAAUUCCACUGUUACUCCUUGCGUACUGUUCAGGAAUCCGAGGCUCAGUCUGUCGAAUUCUUUGGCUAACUUAUACGGCAUCGGGUACGAGGCCAACAUAUUGACUUGACUCUUCCUGCUCAGAGCAUCUGCAACAACAUUGGCUUUGCCUGGAUGGUAAUGUAUCUCCAACUCAUAGUCUUUGAUCAAUUCCAACCAUCUUCGCUGCCUCAUGUUUAGCUCUGACUGAGUGAAUAUGUACUUCAGACUUUUAUGAUCCGUGUAGAUGUCGCACUUCUGCCCAUACAGGUAAUGUCUCCAGGUCUUUAAGGCAUGAACCACUGCUGCCAACUCCAGGUCAUGUGUGGGGUAAUUUUUCUCAUGGAUCUUCAGCUGUCGAGAUGAGUAUGCUACCACUCUUCCUUCUUGCAUUAGCACACAUCCCAAUCCGGUGUACGAAGCAUCGCAAUACACUGAGAAUGGCUUGUGAACAUCAGGCAGGACUAACACAGGAGCUGUAGUCAAUCUAUUCUUCAGUUCUUCAAAUGCUUCCUGACACUUUUGGGUCCACUUAAACUCGACUUUCUUUGCUAGUAACGCUGUCAUUGGUCGAGCAAUCUUUGAGAAGCCUUCAAUGAAACGCCUAUAAUACCCAGCCAUUCCAAUGAAGCUCUUGAUCCCACGAACAUCCUUUGGUGCUUUCCAGUCCAGGAUAUCUGCUACUUUCUUUGGAUCCACUGCUAACCCAUCUUGGUUUAUGAUGUGUCCCAGAAAUAAGACUUCAUGAAUCCAGAACUCGCAUUUGCCCAGCUUGGCAUACAACUAAUGCUCUCGAAGUCUUUGCAAUACCAUCUUCAAAUGCUCUACAUGAUCUUCCUCACUUUGAGAGUAUAUGAGAAUGUCAUCGAUGAAUACUACCACAAACUUGUCCAGAUAAUCCAUGAACACACUGUUCAUCAGGUACAUAAAGAAGGCUGGCGCAUUUGUCAAACCAAAGGACAUAACUGUGAACUCAUAUAACCCGUACUUGGUGAUGAAUGUCGUCUUCGGUAUAUCCGAGGGUCGGAUUCUGAGCUGAUGGUAACCUGAUCUCAGAUCUAUCUUCGAGAAUACGCUGGCACCUCUGAGCUGGUCGAACAAAUCUUCUAUCCUUGGCAGGGGGUACUUGUUCUUGACAGUGACUUCAUUCAAGGCUCUGUUGUGGCAGAACCUCCCAAGUUAUUGGGCCCACAUGCACCUGUCCUUGUCUCAAAGACCUCAGACAGCUAUGCAUGUGCACCAGAUAACUUAACAGGAUCCGUCCGAUUGCCCCACGGACACCGGAUAAACCACUUACAACCAGAACCGCGGGAUUAAGUAAUACAAAUCACACACAUCAAUAUUUUGCAGCGGAAAUCUUAUUACCAAAUUUUACAAGUUACAAAAAUUUUACUUCGUACAUGAUCAGAGUGAUUACUACAUUGAUUCAAAGAAAGAAACUUUGAACGGUUAUAAAUUAUUUAUAGUUUUGAAAUAUAUAUGCUAGCUCAAGUGACCAUCCUCAAUAAGAAGAUAAAGGCGGGGUAUACUUAUAUAAGAAGGCCGAGCCCACCGGCACUUAACACCAUCAACAGCAGCACAAAAACUAUAGCCUGAAAAACAACAGGGAAUAAAACCCUGAGUAUGGAAUUACUCAGCAAGUCUUACCCGACUAAGGAAAAGACUCUCAAGGAUAUGCUGGAUUUGGGAAUCAAGGAGAGGCUUUAGCAAGAAUCAACUUAGAUACUUUUGCAGAAAUAGCUUACUAAAGUGAGUCCUUACUUUCAAUAUUUUAACGCCAGAUUAAAUAUUUAAUAGACUCUGUUUGCAUCUAGUCUAAUUUCAUCAUCUCAUCAAUACAACAUCAUUUUUAUCCAUAGUGUUCACAUCUUGACUUAGGUUGUAGGUCAGAGCUCAAGUCUCCACUCUCCGGGGAUAUAACGGCGAUCCGAAUCGAUUUACUCAGCUGAGGAUCUCUAACCACACGACAUAUGUUUCUCGUAAACCUUGAUGUCUACUAUUCCCACGGAUCCUCCACUGCAUGAACAGGUCCGCGCCACCCGAGAGUACACCACCCCUUUUAGGCGAUCCGUUGCUAGGAGGGUACGUGCCACUCUCGCCAUCUCUCCACGCCCAGUGCGCGAUUGUCUUUUCAUGUAUGGAAUAGCCGGGUUCAAGCUUACCCUGUCCCAUUCUCAGGGCAUGUGGCUAGAUAAGAUAGUCCUUGAUCAACAGGCCUACAUACGCAUCCAAUCCUUAAUUGACCCGGGCGGAGCAUCACCUGUUCCUAGCCCAAGUCUCGAUUUAAGUACUUCCAUCCUUAGGAUUGUUUCUGUUCCUUAGGAUGAAAAGAGCAUCACAGGGAACUUUGCAGUAAGAUCCCACCAUUGCUCCAAAUGAAAAUAUUCUUGCAGGUAGAAGUCAUCCUCUCCCGGGUUAAAUUGAGGACAACCUCUAUCCACAAGAUCUAAGCAAGGCUAAGCAUUUUUGUAAAUCAUAUUUUGAUACUUCACAGAAGUAUCUAUAAAGGUAUGGAUAUCAAGGAAAGCAAUGCAUCAAAGGGUUCCAAGCAACUCCUAUGAACCUAAUGCACAUUUCACUAGACUUAAAGUGUGCGAAAAGUAUUUAAAACACAAGGAAAGGGGUUGCGUGCACCGGGGCUUGCCUGGGUAACACUAGAUUAGUGUUUGUUAGGCGAUGUCCGCUUGACGAGUAUCCCUCGACCGAGUACUUGCUUGAUUUAACCAUCUUCAGGUUGGUCCAUCAGCUUCAUCCUGCGGAUUAGCCCAUGCUUGGGGUCGACUUGGGUCUUCUUCCGCAUCACGCGAUUAAUUAUCGUACCUCAUGAGAUGCACGAUGCAUAUGUAUGAGCACGAGUAUACAUAGUAUGAGAUAGAUAAUCUACGCUAAAAAGGAUGAAACAUUUAAAACCAAGCAUUAAGCAUCAUGGAUAUCAUAGCAGAGCAUCGACUACAUCCAUUAACCAAAUUGACAUAUUACACUAGAUCUAUUUUUAUUCCUAGCUUUUUAUUAACUCUUUAAACUAUGUAUCUUAAUUACUUGAUUUACCGAUUUACCUAAAUCGAUUAUCACAAUAUAGGCAUGCUAAAUUAGUAAAUUACUAACAUUUAUUGUGACCACAAUUCUAUUUAUAGACCUAGUUUAGAUCAUUCAUUAAUCCACUCGCACGAAUAAUAAAUUUGCUUACCCUAUCUAAUUUGACGCGAUAGUCGCAAGCACGACUACGAGUUCUGGCUGACGCCGUUGAUCAUACACGUUCGGCGAGCGAGGCACACAGUUUCCAUUCUUGACCGAAUAUCCGUGGGAUUCUUUUUUUUGUCGAGCUGGUGACGUGUGGCCAAUACUAGAGCGUCUUCACGGCUUGGGGACUUGGCGUAGACGAGGAUGACGAUCGACGACCUCGACGUGUCAGCGCGACGAUUUCCAUAUGGCGAAGAAGACGGAGUAGCCACUCCUGAAUUAGGCUUUAUGGUCGAGCGUCUGACGAGUGUCGCACGAGCCUUGCUGUUCCACCAUUGGAUCUGACUGAAAACUGACCGACUUCCCAUCUCCUCGCCACCCGACGUCAUGACGGAUUCAUAGCGCAGGAUCGCACCCGAUUCUGCAACUCACGCGUCAGCUUGCGCGUGUGCUGUCAACAGGCUUGGGACCUCCGUCGAGCACACGAUGCACGAAGCGCGACAUCAACAAUAAGCGGUUUUUGUGACAUCACGCAGGGAAACUCUGAGCUGUGGCCAGCGCGUAGAAAGCAAAGCGCGGGCAUGGAUUGGGCGCAGGAAGAACAGAGACCGAACUCAGCGAGCUGCGCGCAGACACGCGACGACCAUGGCAAGGGAGCAGAGAAAAUUGUGCGGACGGCUGGAACAGAGACGGCGAGCACGCGCGCACAAAAAGCAGGGCGCGCAGAGGACAGGGAACUGCGACGACGAAACGCCAUAGCUGGAGCAAGAGCGGGACGCGAACUAGGCGACGGCAGCGCGCAAGGACGAUCUUGGCUAGGGGAAAAACUCCGCGCGCAGGGAUCCGAGCUGAAAGGAGCCGAGGAAGAUGGACGCCAUGGGAAGAGGAAGAAGCAGCUGGGCACACUGCGGCUUGGAACCGAUCUUAGAAACGGCGACUGGCACGGACGGGAGGAGUUCGCGGACAAGGAAGUUCCAGCAGGCAGAGAGGCACCGCGGCCACCAUGGGGAACGAGCCAGAGCUGCGCGCGCGCGCAAGAAAAUCGCUCGGCAGAAAGGACGGACAGGGAGCUCCAAGCACCGAACUGCAGCCGGAACCAGAGGCACUGCGAGCAGGUAGACCUGGGAGGGACCUCGCUGGCUGAACGAGCUGGAAGAGAGAAGCAAGGGGAGGGCGCAGGGAAAGAAGAAGCGCUCGGCGCAGGGAGCUGGGCGCCAGAGCAGGAGGCUUCAGGGUGCGGCGCAGGGACACGCGCGGUCAAGCGAACUUGAGUUGGAGCCAGGGAGCAGGAAAUCAGGGCGACGGCGCGUGCACAGAGAAGCGACCGCGCCAUGGGCGUUCGCGGGCGGACGAACUAAGAAGCUUGAGGGAGCUAGGCGAGCUGCACGGGAGGAGCACGCAGGGAGGUACGCCGGCGAGGGAGCAGGAGAGAGAAGGGAGUGGCUGCGCGCGGCGAGGAAGCUCUAGAGAACUGCCAUGGGAGCUCAGCAGAGAGGAAACACAGGGGAUGGGAGAUGCGCUGGCAUGGGAGGAAACUGGGGGUCGCGGCAUGGGUGAUCUGGAACAAGCGAGCAGAGGGGCGUGGUCCGAGCGCCGGGCGCCGGGCGGAGUCGAGGGCGUGACCCAGGGCGAGCGCCGGCUGGAAGAAGAGCAGCGCGCACUGGAAAUAACGACGGCCGGGCGGUGGGAUUUUUCUUCACACGUUGAGCGGCACGGCCAGGAAGAUCAGCGAUCGGCGGUGGGAGAUAAGCUCCAUGGCUGAAUCCAGAGCACGCUGGAGAUUCACGGCUGAAGAUUGAAGCCUACGGGAGAGAGACGCGUGGCUGGCGAUGGGGAUAGAGAUCGAGCAGAGAAGAUGCCGACCACCCAAGCCGGCGUUAAUAAAUUGCCCAUUGCAGAUAAGAACAUGGAGAGAGACUGAGAGAGAGGAUAAGGAGAGGGAGGAGAGAUGUACGUAGGAGAUAUUUGCACAAGAGCUGGACGUUUAAGCGGUGGAAUGAAAUCAGCUAGGAAAAAUUGGAAUUUCCUUUCAUCUACUUAAAAAUAAUCAAAAUGUAGAUAUUUGGUUGGCUCAAACAUUAAGGUCUAAAAGAUGUAUAAAUGAGUUGAGCCAAAACAAGAUCCACAAAAAUAUUUAGACAGGAUUUAAUGAAUACUUCGGAGUCAGAUUAAUUCGUAUCCAUUAUUUCUAUUUGAAGAAAAUUAGAUCGAGACAAGAAACGCACGGACCGGAUCAAAUUGAUUUCGGCUUCGACAAAUUUAGACUGUGCUUGAUUUAAUUUAGGACAGAUAAUUUACUAGACGAAUAAAUUUCAAUUAUAAAUCCUCGGAUGAGCUGUCUCGGUUGACGAGUGGGAACAAAAUUAUUUGCACCGAAAACCUUAGUCGUCGAGUUUGAAUUAAUUUGCCCGGGAUAAAAAUCAUCCGAGUGAGUCGAGCUUCCGAAUUCGUGUUCGCGAGCGAUGAAUUUUAAAUAAUCACCGGACGCACCGAUUUUCAGAACAAAUAUGUUCCGAACAGCAAGAAAAUUCAGGAAGAGCCCGGACAAAUAAAAAUAAUAACGAUGUCGCACUCGCGACAAACGAAGCAGAUGCGAUAUUAAAAUCGUGAUAGGCAAAAAUAAUUAGACCUUAGUGUCCAUCUUAUUUACUGAUAUCACGUGCUUAAAUCCGUACUCGCUGUCGAGCGGACGAUAAACACCAGGGUGUUACAGUCCUCCCCCCUUAAAAGAAUCUCGUCCCGAGAUUCGGAGCGAAAGACUUCUAAGGGUAGAGAAGUAUGUAACCCUUGUUCAUAUCAGCGAUAAUUAUAAGGCAGUUCCAAGCAAGGACGAGUGUCUCAGAAUGUUGUUUCUCUAAUGGACAUAUCAUGUAUCGCCUUAAGCCAAUUUAGAAAUGUCCACCAAUGGAGACGCUGUCUGCCAGAAGAACACAUAAGGUUCCAUGUGUGCAGUUUGCUUUUUUUUUAUGACACUGUACUAUCUGAGUCUGUUGAGCGAGCGGCAAAUACACGAUUUUACCCAAACAGAAUCAGAUACACCAUCUUGGGUAAAACACACAGAAAGAGGUUUACCAACAAGUGGUUACAGUAAACUCAUAGCACACGUGACGGCUGUGAAUGUCGAAUAACAUCACAGUUAACUCGUGUUAGCCAAAGAAUCCAAGUCCCUGAAAGGUGAUAUAGAUUCGAGAACAUCACCAGCAAAGGGGUCUGUAGAUACGGACUUUACAACUAGUCCAUUUUAUCAAGCACUAGGCAUGACUCGACCUGGUCAUACAUGCUAGAAAAGCACACGUGAGGCGAUCGAGACACGACUAGAGCGAUGGCUAGGUGGUUAUUGGUCGCCUUAAUCUUGAUUUUUAUAAGUACUUCCUCAGUAUGGGUUGAACCAAAAUGAGUUCAGGCAAAUCGAUAAAACGAUCUCUAAACUCAAUCUUUGUUCAUUGAGCAGUUACAAGUUAGUAAAACCAACUUGUUGAACUACUUUUGACAUUGAGCAAGUCCUCUCAGUACCAUCGGUAAGCCAACGGUCGAGAGCUCACUCAUACUAACAGUUGAUCAUGCACUUGGGCAGAAAUCUAUUUGGUCAUGUUGUUCAUCCGUUUCUUCAUGUGAGAUGAAUUAUCCGCUUGGUUAGGGAAUACUUGGAUUAAAUAAGAGAGCGAAUGAACAAACUCCUGCAUCACAACAGCAGGGAAAAUCAAUCUUCAUUUUGAGAGCUAAUCAGUUGUCUCUCGACAUUAAAAAGCUCCAAGGCUCCACCUUUACACAAAGGAUGUAAAGGGAACUUGUAUGAGUAGUCACUACCAAGAUCAAAAGAAAUAAGACCACACAUGAAAGUGGUAUGCCCUUUUGAUCCAACAGAGAUGACAGAUGUUGCUUGAUCUCUUCACAAACAACAUAGAAAUUGUUUCAAGGAAGAAGCCUACGGAAGAUAACAUAUUGAUAUAAUCUCAUAAUGGAUUACGACUAUUAACUGUGAUACCAACGCGUGCCGAGUAGCACAACCAUGUGUGAGCACCCACCGAAGGCCCUCGGUUUCAGCGUGGUAUCACCGAUUUUAGUCAUAACACCAUUACCAGACAUAACCAAUAAGAAAUCUCACGUGACACCAAUAGAUUGGUCAAGGAUGACAAGGUACAAAAGAGACUCCACCUGUAGAAUGAUUACAAGUAGAGAUCCAAAUAGAUCAUGGCCCAAGGAAGUGAACAAGGCAUGGCCAUAACCUAAACUUGAUGAGAGAAGUACGAUGGGAGAUUGUUAAUUCAGCCCCAAGCAUAUUUCUAUGCCCAUCGCAGAGAUCACAAGGUCAAGGAUCAGUAUCUGACUAGAUACAGGGGAAAACAAUCAUAAGAUUAAGUUGGUAUGCCUUCGAUAGAUAUGGGAAACCAAAGGCAUCAAAUUCUAGAAAAAUGGUUGGACAUGUCUUUCCUAGGUUGGGUUGACAAAGCAACAUGGCGAUCCGCAAGGAGAGGCCAAAUAUAAUGGAGACCUCAACCUGCAUCAACUGAACAAGGGAAUGGUUCUAGAAGGAGACAUGACUUGAGAUUUUUUUUAAGCUUGGGUACACUUUAUGUCCAACAAAGAAAUUAUCAAGCAUUUAUUUGUAUGGGCUUGGUCACAGAGUGAUAAUGGUAAAUUCAAAUUUGGGUCUCGGUUCACCAACUAAGAACAUGGCCUAAUUUUGGGUUUAAGCAACCAAACUACUAACCCUCUAUCGGCACAUCAACAAAAGAGCACACAUAGAGCACUCUAAGAGGUCACCUAAAGAAUGGAGGACACCUAUUUCAUCGAAGUUCAUAAUUUAGCAUUACACCAUAUUAUCUACAAUCAAUGGUUACUGGAAUAAAGACGAGAGAAGCAUUUUGGGUGUAUAGGUGACAAACAUAAUGCAACAAUCAAGAUGCAUGCUCGUCUUAUCCGUCCUCACUGAGUUUUUGCCAACAUAAUGUGGCAAUAGCGUUCUAUAUCGGUGGCAUAUGUACGAUUCUCACGGUAUUUUGCUAGUCGUCAACUACACAUACGUUUUCGAGGUUAGUGUACCUGCAGAAAAAUCCAUCACAACCCAAUUCCCAAUGAUGCAGUUCACACAUGACAGUUUAUCAUAGUUUAUACUCCAUAUAUUGCUAUAUGGAGGCCAGCUCAUCAUUAAGCGCCGAGCCACGCAUAGGCGCCAUUGCCACACUUUAACCAUAGGGCAACCCAUUAUGGUAACUCACCUUCUUACCUGAACGUAGGUGCGUCGUUACAAGUACAUUACACUUCUCAGUAUUCCCAUGUCUGUAUACCCAUACACAUCCAUGGGGUACCGAAUUCCCAGAAAAGUAAUUACUCCACCUCGCAACCUUCAUAUAUACAUAUAUAAAACAUGUAUAUAAUCAAGCGCUACAAUUAAGCACUUCCCUAGACCGACGUUUGUUCGGUCUUGCUCUCACAUCUCACCUUACCUUGGGCGUCGAUCCAUUCAAAACUGAAUGGCCUUAAAAAUAACAAUACACAUGUAUGCAAUACCCACCCGGUUGUGGGUUAGUGGUUUUCAAAUAAGCCACCUGAUAGUCCUUAGUUUUAGGGCUUAAAAGAGGAUGUCGCUAGCAUUAUAGUUUUUUUUAAAACUGUUUUUCAAAGCCAAACAAUGUGUUUAACUAAAAAUAGGUUUUUCGAAACCAAAACUUUUGUUUUGAAAAUACGUAUGUGACCGUAUAUACUUAAUCCAGCUCCGAUACCAGCUGUGGCAGAACCUCCCAAGUUAUUGGGCCCACAUGCACCUGUCCUUGUCUCAAAGACCUCAGACAGCUAUGCAUGUGCACCAGAUAACUUAACAGGAUCCGUCCGAUUGCCCCACGGACACCGGAUAAACCACUUACAACCAGAACCGCGGGAUUAAGUAAUACAAAUCACACACAUCAAUAUUUUGCAGCGGAAAUCUUAUUACCAAAUUUUACAAGUUACAAAAAUUUUACUUCGUACAUGAUCAGAGUGAUUACUACAUUGAUUCAAAGAAAGAAACUUUGAACGGUUAUAAAUUAUUUAUAGUUUUGAAAUAUAUAUGCUAGCUCAAGUGACCAUCCUCAAUAAGAAGAUAAAGGCGGGGUAUACUUAUAUAAGAAGGCCGAGCCCACCGGCACUUAACACCAUCAACAGCAGCACAAAAACUAUAACCUAAAAAACAACAGGGAAUAAAACCCUGAGUAUGGAAUUACUCAGCAAGUCUUACCCGACUAAGGAAAAGACUCUCAAGGAUAUGCUGGAUUUGGGAAUCAAGGAGAGGCUUUAGCAAGAAUCAACUUAGAUACUUUUGCAGAAAUAGCUUACUAAAGUGAGUCCUUACUUUCAAUAUUUUAACGCCAGAUUAAAUAUUUAAUAGACUCUGUUUGCAUCUAGUCUAAUUUCAUCAUCUCAUCAAUACAACAUCAUUUUUAUCCAUAGUGUUCACAUCUUGACUUAGGUUGUAGGUCAGAGCUCAAGUCUCCACUCUCCGGGGAUAUAACGGCGAUCCGAAUCGAUUUACUCAGCUGAGGAUCUCUAACCACACGACAUAUGUUUCUCGUAAACCUUGAUGUCUACUAUUCCCACGGAUCCUCCACUGCAUGAACAGGUCCGCGCCACCCGAGAGUACACCACCCCUUUUAGGCGAUCCGUUGCCAGGAGGGUACGUGCCACUCUCGCCAUCUCUCCACGCCCAGUGCGCGAUUGUCUUUUCAUGUAUGGAAUAGCCGGGUUCAAGCUUACCAUGUCCCAUUCUCAGGGCAUGUGGCUAGAUAAGAUAGUCCUUGAUCAACAGGCCUACAUACGCAUCCAAUCCUUAAUUGUCCCGGGCGGAGCAUCACCUGUUCCUAGCCCAAGUCUCGAUUUAAGUACUUCCAUCCUUAGGAUUGUUUCUGUUCCUUAGGAUGAAAAGAGCAUCACAGGGAACUUUGCAGUAAGAUCCCACCAUUGCUCCAAAUGAAAAUAUUCUUGCAGGUAGAAGUCAUCCUCUCCCGGGUUAAAUUGAGGACAACCUCUAUCCACAAGAUCUAAGCAAGGCUAAGCAUUUUUGUAAAUCAUAUUUUGAUACUUCACAGAAGUAUCUAUAAAGGUAUGGAUAUCAAGGAAAGCAAUGCAUCAAAGGGUUCCAAGCAACUCCUAUGAACCUAAUGCACAUUUCACUAGACUUAAAGUGUGCGAAAAGUAUUUAAAACACAAGGAAAGAGGUUGCGUGCACCGGGGCUUGCCUGGGUAACACUAGAUUAGUGUUUGUUAGGCGAUGUCCGCUUGACGAGUAUCCCUCGACCGAGUACUUGCUUGAUUUAACCAUCUUCAGGUUGGUCCAUCAGCUUCAUCCUGCGGAUUAGCCCAUGCUUGGGGUCGACUUGGGUCUUCUUCCGCAUCACGCGAUUAAUUAUCGUACCUCAUGAGAUGCACGAUGCAUAUGUAUGAGCACGAGUAUACAUAGUAUGAGAUAGAUAAUCUACGCUAAAAAGGAUGAAAUAUUUAAAACCAAGCAUUAAGCAUCAUGGAUAUCAUAGCAGAGCAUCGACUACAUCCAUUAACCAAAUUGACAUAUUACACUAGAUCUAUUUUUAUUCCUAGCUUUUUAUUAACUCUUUAAACUAUGUAUCUUAAUUACUUGAUUUACCGAUUUACCUAAAUCGAUUAUCACAAUAUAGGCAUGCUAAAUUAGUAAAUUACUAACAUUUAUUGUGACCACAAUUCUAUUUAUAGACCUAGUUUAGAUCAUUCAUUAAUCCACUCGCACGAA
This 15737-nucleotide long non-coding RNA is filed under the name Zea mays. RNAcentral describes it as "long non-coding RNA (ZMAY_LNC000788)". The record is from RNAcentral. Lineage: Eukaryota; Viridiplantae; Streptophyta; Magnoliopsida; Poales; Poaceae.